RNAcentral lists this ribosomal RNA (253 nucleotides) under uncultured bacterium. Its description in RNAcentral is "partial 16S ribosomal RNA". It matches the Rfam family "Bacterial small subunit ribosomal RNA", at positions 524 to 776 of the family's 1533-position model. The record is from RNAcentral.
GACAGAGGGUGCAAACGUUGUUCGGAUUUACUGGGCGUAAAGCGCGUGUAGGCGGCUUUGCAAGUCGGAUGUGAAAUCCCACGGCUCAACCGUGGAAGUGCAUCCGAAACUGCAUCGCUGGAGUCUCGGAGAGGAAGGUGGAAUGCUUGGUGUAGAGGUGAAAUUCGUAGAUAUCAAGCAGAACACCUGCGGCGAAGGCGGCCUUCUGGACGAUGACUGACGCUGAGAUGCGAAAGCGUGGGGAGCAAACAGG